GCACGAGUAGCUCAGUGGUAGAGCGGCUGUCUUACACACAGUUGGUCAGGAGUUCGAAUCUCUUCUCGUGUA
RNAcentral lists this transfer RNA (72 nucleotides) under Akkermansia sp. RNAcentral's name for it is "tRNA-Val". It matches the Rfam family "tRNA". Rfam says of the family: Transfer RNA (tRNA) molecules are approximately 80 nucleotides in length. Their secondary structure includes four short double-helical elements and three loops (D, anti-codon, and T loops). Lineage: Bacteria; Pseudomonadati; Verrucomicrobiota; Verrucomicrobiia; Verrucomicrobiales; Akkermansiaceae. RNAcentral also lists the same sequence under 2 other names. The record is from RNAcentral.